CGUGUUCACUGUGUAUGUCUUG
RNAcentral lists this microRNA (22 nucleotides) under Tetranychus urticae (two-spotted spider mite). RNAcentral describes it as "tur-miR-124-1-5p". Its record names the gene tur-miR-124-1-5p. Lineage: Eukaryota; Metazoa; Arthropoda; Arachnida; Trombidiformes; Tetranychidae. The record is from miRBase by way of RNAcentral.